This 253-nucleotide ribosomal RNA is filed under the name uncultured bacterium. Its description in RNAcentral is "partial 16S ribosomal RNA". It matches the Rfam family "Bacterial small subunit ribosomal RNA", at positions 524 to 776 of the family's 1533-position model. The record is from RNAcentral.
CACGUAGGGCGCAAGCGUUGUCUGGAAUUAUUGGGCGUAAAGAGCUCGUAGGCGGUCUGUUGCGUCCGCUGUGAAAACCCGGGGCUUAACCCUGGGCUGGCAGUGGAUACGGACAGACUAGAGGUAGGUAGGGGAGAAUGGAAUUCCCGGUGUAGCGGUGAAAUGCGCAGAUAUCGGGAGGAACACCGGUGGCGAAGGCGGUUCUCUGGGCCUUACCUGACGCUGAGGAGCGAAAGCGUGGGGAGCGAACAGG